This is a long non-coding RNA of Phascolarctos cinereus (koala), 507 nucleotides long. RefSeq lists it as uncharacterized. NCBI's taxonomy places the organism in Eukaryota, Metazoa, Chordata, Mammalia, Diprotodontia, Phascolarctidae. The record is from RefSeq and is a predicted model, not a curated record.
AGCAUUUUAGUACUGGGGCCAUUUCGCCUGAGUCAUGGGUCAUGCACUUGCUUAGCUGAAGCUUUUCAGAAUUGAGCUGAGAGCUCCAAAACUUUAACUUAGGUGAUUAACUGGUUAAUGAUGAAAGAAUUUCUAGCUCAGUCAUUAAUUCUGUGUUCUGAGAGUGAUUGUUUCCUGGUUAGUUUGCAGAUUCCAGCUUGGGAUACCAGCUUCGGCUUUUUGCUAAUGUGUCUGGGUUCUUUGAUGUUUAAACCUUAAAUGUAAAAGGUAUUGCUGGAAUAAAAGUGAAGUCAUGAAUACAUAAUGGUGUGCGGUGUUUUUGUAAUAGGAUCACAGUAUUUCACUAUGGUGCAGAUCUCAAAGAAGUCUUUGUUGAAGAGAUGGCAACCACAUAGGGAAGGAAUGAAAUAUUUUUAAAUCAAGUGAAAGCAGCACAGGAUCGUGAGCAAGCAUGGGUUUAGCAAAACUUAAACACAGAUACAAAACAAUUAUUAUUUAUAGACAGCA